AGUGAACGCUGGCGGUAGGCCUAACACAUGCAAGUCGAACGGCAGCACAGUAAGAGCUUGCUCUUACGGGUGGCGAGUGGCGGACGGGUGAGGAAUAGAUCGGAAUCUACUUUUUCGUGGGGGAUAACGUAGGGAAACUUACGCUAAUACCGCAUACGACCUACGGGUGAAAGCAGGGGAUCUUCGGACCUUGCGCGAUUGAAUGAGCCGAUGUCGGAUUAGCUAGUUGGCGGGGUAAGGGCCCACCAAGGCGACGAUCCGUAGCUGGUCUGAGAGGAUGAUCAGCCACACUGGAACUGAGACACGGUCCAGACUCCUACGGGAGGCAGCAGUGGGGAAUAUUGGACAAUGGGCGCAAGCCUGAUCCAGCCAUACCGCGUGGGUGAAGAAGGCCUUCGGGUUGUAAAGCCCUGUUGUUGGGAAAGAAAAGAAGCAGGUUAAUACCCCGCUGUUCUGACGGUACCCAAAGAAUAAGCACCGGCUAACUUCGUG
RNAcentral lists this ribosomal RNA (492 nucleotides) under uncultured bacterium. Its description in RNAcentral is "partial 16S ribosomal RNA". It matches the Rfam family "Bacterial small subunit ribosomal RNA", at positions 29 to 507 of the family's 1533-position model. The record is from RNAcentral.